RNAcentral lists this non-coding RNA (99 nucleotides) under Loktanella atrilutea. Its description in RNAcentral is "TPP sequence". It matches the Rfam family "TPP riboswitch aptamer (THI element)". From Rfam's summary of the family: Vitamin B(1) in its active form thiamin pyrophosphate (TPP) is an essential coenzyme that is synthesised by coupling of pyrimidine and thiazole moieties in bacteria. The previously detected thiamin-regulatory element, thi box was extended, resulting in a new, highly conserved RNA secondary structure, the THI element, which is widely distributed in eubacteria and also occurs in some archaea. The record is from Rfam by way of RNAcentral. Lineage: Bacteria; Pseudomonadati; Pseudomonadota; Alphaproteobacteria; Rhodobacterales; Roseobacteraceae.
UGGUACACCUCGGGGGGCCUUCACUGGCUGAGAUGCGCAAGCGGACCCGUUGAACCUGAACCGGUUAAGACCGGCGGAGGGAAGGUCCGGCACUCAUGC